UGGGGAAUAUUGCACAAUGGAGGGAACUCUGAUGCAGCGACGCCGCGUGAACGAAGAAGGCUUUCGAGUCGUAAAGUUCUUUUAUAUGGGAAGAUAAUGACGGUACCAUAAGAAAAAGCCCCGGCUAACUACGUGCCAGCAGCAGCGGUAAUACGUAGGGGGCUAGCGUUGUCCGGAAUCACUGGGCGUAAAGGGUUCGCAGGCGGAAAUGCAAGUCAGGUGUAAAAGGCAGUAGCUUAACUACUGUAAGCAUUUGAAACUGCAUAUCUUGAGAAGAGUAGAGGUAAGUGGAAUUUUUAGUGUAGCGGUGAAAUGCGUAGAUAUUAAAAAGAAUACCGGUGGCGAAGGCGACUUACUGGGCUCAUUCUGACGCUGAGGAACGAAAGCGUGGGUAGCAAACAGG
RNAcentral lists this ribosomal RNA (403 nucleotides) under Fusobacteriota bacterium. RNAcentral's name for it is "Fusobacteria bacterium partial 16S ribosomal RNA". It matches the Rfam family "Bacterial small subunit ribosomal RNA", at positions 355 to 776 of the family's 1533-position model. Lineage: Bacteria; Fusobacteriati; Fusobacteriota. The record is from RNAcentral.